UACGUAGGGACCAAGCGUUGUCCGGAAUCAUUGGGCGUAAAGAGCGUGUAGGCGGUUUGUCGCGUCUGCUGUGAAAUUUCGGGGCUCAACCCCGAACUUGCAGUGGGUACGGGCAGACUAGAGUGUGGUAGGGGAGACUGGAAUUCCUGGUGUAGCGGUGAAAUGCGCAGAUAUCAGGAGGAACACCGAUGGCGAAGGCAGGUCUCUGGGCCACUACUGACGCUGAGAAGCGAAAGCAUGGGGAGCGAACAGG
This 253-nucleotide ribosomal RNA is filed under the name uncultured bacterium. RNAcentral describes it as "partial 16S ribosomal RNA". It matches the Rfam family "Bacterial small subunit ribosomal RNA", at positions 524 to 776 of the family's 1533-position model. The record is from RNAcentral.